Molecule: unclassified non-coding RNA, 407 nt
Filed under: Hevea brasiliensis (rubber tree)
Lineage: Eukaryota; Viridiplantae; Streptophyta; Magnoliopsida; Malpighiales; Euphorbiaceae
Source: RNAcentral
AUAAAGGCUCAGUUGAGUUGAGUUACUAGAUUUUGAUAGAAUUUCAGUCAAAUUUGUUACAUGUAAAACUUUUCUAAUUUAGCUCUACAAUUACAAAUAGGCUUAGGUAUUAUCCUACCUAGUACAUACAGAAUUUAUAGUCAAGUGGUUUUGUCAAUAGAAAUUAAAGUUUAAUGACUGUUAAAAUUUUUGAUAAGUUCAGUGUCCAUGAUUGAAAUAAAGUACAUUAACUGGGAUCUGGAACUCUUGGGACGUGCCUAAAUAAACAGCUAAUCCAUGUCCAGCAGCUGAAAGUAGUAGCAAUAGCCAAGGUGAAAACUGAUAAAAUAAAAUAAAAACUAAGUUCGCAAAGAAACUGUGUAAUAAAAAACUGAAUGGUUAGUUCUUCAUUUGGAUCUUGAAGAAUA